This 449-nucleotide ribosomal RNA is filed under the name uncultured bacterium. Its description in RNAcentral is "bacterial SSU rRNA". It matches the Rfam family "Bacterial small subunit ribosomal RNA", at positions 355 to 796 of the family's 1533-position model. The record is from RNAcentral.
UGGGGAAUUUUGGACAAUGGGGGCAACCCUGAUCCAGCAAUGCCGCGUGAGUGAAGAAGGCCUUCGGGUUGUAAAGCUCUUUUGUCAGGGAAGAAAAGGCUGCAGCUAAUAUCUGCGGCUAAUGACGGUACCUGAAGAAUAAGCACCGGCUAACUACGUGCCAGCAGCCGCGGUAAUACGUAGGGUGCAAGCGUUAAUCGGAAUUACUGGGCGUAAAGCGUGCGCAGGCGGUUUCGUAAGUCUGUCGUGAAAUCCCCGGGCUUAACCUGGGAAUGGCGAUGGAGACUGCGAGGCUAGAGUUUGGCAGAGGGGGGUAGAAUUCCACGUGUAGCAGUGAAAUGCGUAGAGAUGUGGAGGAACACCGAUGGCGAAGGCAGCCCCCUGGGUCAAAACUGACGCUCAUGCACGAAAGCGUGGGGAGCAAACAGGAUUAGAUACCCGUGUAGUCC